CCCUUAGAUGUUCUGGGCCGCACGCGCGCUACACCGAUGCAUUCAACGAGUUUCUUCCUGGUCCGAGAGGAAUGGGUAACCUUUUGAAAGUGCAUCGUGAUAGGGAUAGACUAUUGCAAUUAUUGGUCUUCAACGAGGAAUUCCUAGUAGACGUAGUUCAUCAGACUGCAUCGAUUACGUCCCUGCCCUUUGUACACACCGCCCGUCGCUCCUACCGAUUGAAUGCUCAGGUGAGCCAUUCGGACUUUCAUCAUGCUGGUUUCCAGUUUUGAUGAAGGAAAGUCUUGCGAACCUUAUCAUUUAGAGGAAGGAGAAGCCGUAACA
This 324-nucleotide ribosomal RNA is filed under the name uncultured eukaryote. Its description in RNAcentral is "partial 18S ribosomal RNA". It matches the Rfam family "Eukaryotic small subunit ribosomal RNA", at positions 1470 to 1796 of the family's 1831-position model. The record is from RNAcentral.